UGGCUCAGUGGUAGAGCAUGGUGUUUGCAAUGCCAGGCUUGUGGGUUCGAUUCCUGU
This 57-nucleotide transfer RNA is filed under the name Salmo salar (Atlantic salmon). It matches the Rfam family "tRNA", at positions 8 to 63 of the family's 71-position model. From Rfam's summary of the family: Transfer RNA (tRNA) molecules are approximately 80 nucleotides in length. Their secondary structure includes four short double-helical elements and three loops (D, anti-codon, and T loops). The record is from Rfam by way of RNAcentral. Lineage: Eukaryota; Metazoa; Chordata; Actinopteri; Salmoniformes; Salmonidae.